This 497-nucleotide ribosomal RNA is filed under the name uncultured bacterium. RNAcentral describes it as "partial 16S ribosomal RNA". It matches the Rfam family "Bacterial small subunit ribosomal RNA", at positions 28 to 507 of the family's 1533-position model. The record is from RNAcentral.
GAUGAACGCUGGCGGCGUGCCUAAUACAUGCCAGUCGAGCGAACAGACGAGGAGCUUGCUCCUCUGACGUUAGCGGCGGACGGGUGAGUAACACGUGGAUAACCUACCUAUAAGACUGGGAUAACUUCGGGAAACCGGAGCUAAUACCGGAUAAUAUAUUGAACCGCAUGGUUCAAUAGUGAAAGACGGUUUUGCUGUCACUUAUAGAUGGAUCCGCGCCGCAUUAGCUAGUUGGUAAGGUAACGGCUUACCAAGGCAACGAUGCGUAGCCGACCUGAGAGGGUGACCGGCCACACUGGAACUGAGACACGGUCCAGACUCCUACGGGAGGAAGCAGUAGGGAAUCUUCCGCAAUGGGCGAAAGCCUGACGGAGCAACGCCGCGUGAGUGAUGAAGGUCUUCGGAUCGUAAAACUCUGUUAUUAGGGAAGAACAAAUGUGUAAGUAACUAUGCACGUCUUGACGGUACCUAAUCAGAAAGCCACGGCUAACUACGUG